Molecule: ribosomal RNA, 171 nt
Filed under: uncultured bacterium
Lineage: Bacteria
Description: partial 16S ribosomal RNA
Rfam family: Bacterial small subunit ribosomal RNA
Source: RNAcentral
GCUAGUAAUCGCGGAUCAGCACGCCGCGGUGAAUACGUUCCCGGGCCUUGUACACACCGCCCGUCACACCAUGGAAGUCUGCAAUGCCCGAAGCCGGUGGCCUAACCACUUAUGUGGAAGGAGCCGUCUAAGGCAGGGCAGAUGACUGGGGUGAAGUCGUAACAAGGUAUC